This 739-nucleotide long non-coding RNA is filed under the name Carica papaya (papaya). RNAcentral's name for it is "long non-coding RNA (CPAP_LNC000274)". Lineage: Eukaryota; Viridiplantae; Streptophyta; Magnoliopsida; Brassicales; Caricaceae. The record is from RNAcentral.
AAGGGGGUCUCUUUGGGAUGCUCCAGUUAUGGCUCUUCAUUGAAAGGUAAAGCUUAUAAAUCUAUAUUCAAGUAAUGUAAUUUUAUCAUUAGCUUAAAGUUGGACUGAUUAAUGGGAUGUGGUUGUUAUUUGUAUAUGGUUUGACUCCGGGAAGUCCAUGAGAAAUGAGAAAGGAAAUAUUUUUAUGGAGAAUGUAUGAUUGUAAUUGCCUAUUCUGUAUGAAUCAUUGGAUUAAAUUCUGUCGUGAUAUUGAUUUGACGGAGGCCUAUGAAUUGCUAAAUAAGUACUACUCUAAUACGAUCAGUUGAUGAUCUUUAUACUCUCUCUAAAUUUGAGUGCGUAAAGUAGAUGGUUCUGAAAUUAAGAUGCAUGAUCUCUUUCAUAAUGCGAACGUUAAUCACAUGUUAUUUAUCCCGCUUACUACUGUUAUCCUCAGCUAUUUCAUGUUCAAUAAUCAAUUCAUUCUCUGUCGGAAAUAUGUAAAUAGUAGAUCAUGAUCUCUAUGUUGAGGCCUGGCUGAGGGUAGAAAUCCCUUCUAAGGGUUUAACAGAGACCCCUUAAUCACUGGUUCCCAACACAGAUUUUCCAUCACUUCUCUUCAACAGAUUCCCACUGUUUUCGGUGAAUGUUACUUCUUCUAAGCUUUUCUUGCACGUGCUUGUACUGGAGAGUUAAAAAUGACUAGUUUUUGUUUUAAGUGUUGAAUGAACAAACUUUCUUGUAAUUAGUUCUCUUUGUC